UACAGAGGGUGCGAGCGUUGUCCGGAAUCACUGGGCGUAAAGGGCGCGUAGGCGGCUGGGGAAGUCCGUGGUGAAAGCUCGUGGCUCAACUGCGAGUCGGCCAUGGAUACUCCUCGGCUUGAGCACUGUAGAGGCAGGUGGAAUUCCGGGUGUAGCGGUGGAAUGCGUAGAGAUCCGGAAGAACACCGGUGGCGAAGGCGGCCUGCUGGGCAGUAGCUGACGCUGAGGCGCGACAGCGUGGGGAGCAAACAGG
RNAcentral lists this ribosomal RNA (253 nucleotides) under uncultured bacterium. RNAcentral's name for it is "partial 16S ribosomal RNA". It matches the Rfam family "Bacterial small subunit ribosomal RNA", at positions 524 to 776 of the family's 1533-position model. The record is from RNAcentral.